GAUUGCAUAUUUUGGCUUUAAUAUUGAUUGACUUAUAGGGUCUUUGCAUCGGAACUAAACACAUUUAUUUUUUUUAAAAACAGUUAUUGGCAUGACACGGGUUAUGUUCUUAUGUUAUAUUUUAUGAUAGUAUGAUACUAAACCAAUAACGGGAGGGAUUAAUCUUUCAAUCAGUUUAAUUGAGGUCUAGAGCUGGCAUGUCAGUUAACUGCUAGUAGUCUGUUGUUAUUUAUGUAUUAUUGUCAUUUUAUUUAUUUUAUUUUGUUACAUCUUUUGACAUCGGACUCGGACUUCUCUUGAACGUAAUUUUAAUGUGCGUAUUGUUAUGCGUUUACUUUUCUACAUUGGCUAGAGGUAUAGGGGGAGGGUUGAGAUCUCAUAAACAUGUUUAACCCCGCCGCAAUUUUUGCGCCUGUCCCAAGUCAGGAGCCUCUGGCCUUUGUUAGUCUUGUAUGAUUUUUAAUUUUAGUUUCUUGUGUAUAAUUCGGAGUUAAGUAUGACGUCCAUUAUCACUGUACAAGUAUACAUAUUUUUA
RNAcentral lists this long non-coding RNA (535 nucleotides) under Mytilus galloprovincialis (Mediterranean mussel). The record is from RNAcentral. Lineage: Eukaryota; Metazoa; Mollusca; Bivalvia; Mytilida; Mytilidae.